AGUGAACGCUGGCGGUAGGCCUAACACAUGCAAGUCGAACGGCAGCACAGUAAGAGCUUGCUCUUACGGGUGGCGAGUGGCGGACGGGUGAGGAAUACAUCGGAAUCUACUUUUUCGUGGGGGAUAACGUAGGGAAACUUACGCUAAUACCGCAUACGACCUACGGGUGAAAGCAGGGGAUCUUCGGACCUUGCGCGAUUGAAUGAGCCGAUGUCGGAUUAGCUAGUUGGCGGGGUAAAGGCCCACCAAGGCGACGAUCCGUAGCUGGUCUGAGAGGAUGAUCAGCCACACUGGAACUGAGACACGGGCCAGACUCCUACGGGAGGCAGCAGUGGGGAAUAUUGGACAAUGGGCGCAAGCCUGAUCCAGCCCUACCGCGUGGGUGAAGAAGGCCUUCGGGUUGUAAAGCCCUUUUGUUGGGAAAGAAAAGCAGCAGGUUAAUACCCCGCUGUUCUGACGGUACCCAAAGAAUAAGCACCGGCUAACUUCGUG
Molecule: ribosomal RNA, 492 nt
Filed under: uncultured bacterium
Lineage: Bacteria
Description: partial 16S ribosomal RNA
Rfam family: Bacterial small subunit ribosomal RNA
Source: RNAcentral